Choloepus didactylus (southern two-toed sloth) is the source of this 4412-nucleotide long non-coding RNA. RefSeq lists it as uncharacterized. NCBI's taxonomy places the organism in Eukaryota, Metazoa, Chordata, Mammalia, Pilosa, Megalonychidae. The transcript is spliced from 3 exons. The record is from RefSeq and is a predicted model, not a curated record.
AGAAAAUGCCAGUACGACCGAGGCUCUUGGACUCUAAUGCAUUCACCUGGCAGUACAUUGGCUGGGUCCCUAUCUGUGAUUGCACGUUGGCUCCAACCUGGGCCCCUUGGUGAGAAUCCCCAUUGAGUGACUGCACGCUCAUGAACAAAUCUCCAGAGUUUGACAUGUUAAAAGAACUGGAAGAACCUGGAAAGGAAAGAGUGAGGCACCUGAAUCAAAGAAAGGAAAAGGCUCAACCCCCGCAACUAACAGCCAAGAGGAAGGAUGACAUGCAAAGCAAUCCCCCCAAAUAAAAAUGAAAAUGAAAACAACAUCAACAGAGUCUGGUUAGUAGCAUGGAGAACAGAGCAAGCAAUAGGAUGCAUAUUGUUCCUGUUAUGUGAAGCCACCCUUCACUACAAGUUGUCAGCAGGAUCGCUUUCCCUUAGCAUCUUCAAGCUGAGAAAGGGAAGAUUUAUUCAUCUUAACUUAGGCUAUUUGGAUUGGAGACUGUUUUCAGGUCCAGGAUCUCUCUUCCUGGCCUCUGAAAUUCUAGGGUUGGUCAGGGGACCACAGACGGGAGAAAUACAGGCUGGUCAGUGAUGCUUUCCUGCCCCUACUAUGGAGCACGUGAAGUAUUCUGCUGGACUCCAACUAUGCCACUGCCAAACCCAUCUACUCUAACAUGGAAGCAGCACAUGGAUGGGGAGUGCAUGAAAGCAUUGCCACGCUUUAGGGCUGGUCCUGUGAUAUGAGUCCACUGGCAUUCCUGACUUCUAGAAAGAAGCUGGGGUUCCCUGCUGGGUGGCAAACAUCCCAGGAGAGCCUUGAUGACUAAAAAUAGGUGAGGGUCUUCUACCCUUCCUUGCCACCUGUCAUUAUGGGGGAAGAUGAAAUGGAAGCGUGGGCCAGGGAUUCUGAAGCAUGCAUGAAAUAUCAAAUAAUAUAAUUAGUAAUAAUAAUAAUAAAGCAGACCUCAAGAAGGGCAGUUAACCAUCUGCUUUCGCCUCCCAGAGAUGGAGCCACAGCUUGCCUUUAGGUCCAUCCUGGCCACCACCCCCUGGUUCCACUGUGUUAAACCUAGCCUGCCCUCAACCUAAACACAUGGAUGGUAAAGCUCAGUAUUAUUCUGAAGUCAUCGUGCAGUUCAGCGCAUUAGGAAAGAAAGCUCAACGUGCAAGGUUUGGUUAAAAUAUGACGUUAGCCUGGAAAAGGAGAGACCUUAGGGACCCAGAUGGGGAUUUGAGCUCUCCUGAGAGAGUGGCCCUGGCCGGUAUGAAGAGCCACAGCUAAGCAGAAGAAAUGAUUUUUCCCCCACAGAAGAACCACUUAACUAGCAACAAACUCUAAACUCUGCCACUUUUAUCUAUGCUUACCUAUCCAUAGGAUCCUCCUACUUCAAAGGAAAAAGGAAAUGCUUUCAUUGGGAGGUAUGGGAGAUUCAAGUAUCAACCAGAGAACAGUGACAUCUCCCGCUGCUCUGCAAUAUAUCCUUUCUCUUCUGGCACAACUCUAUGUUUAGCUUUUCUGAAAGAAAUUAGAAAAGUUGGGUCUUGGCAAAAUAGGCUCAAGAUCUGACCAGGUGCGGUUUACACCCAGUAAGUGCAGUGAAUGCUUUGGCCUGUAACUUCCUUCCAUUAAUGUGGUACAAAUGUUUCAACUAUCCUCCCCCACAUAUGUGUGAAGCAGUGUGUAGUACCUAUUACAUUCUCAUAUUAGGAUAUAUAAUGCCCAGGCCUCUUUGCACUAGUUACAUCAAACCUUUUUUUAAUCACAGGGAUAUAACCUAAAUAAAAGCCAUUUUGUCCUAAGUGUUAUGAUGCAUGGUCAUGUUUAGAUGUCAUCAGGACCAAGAAUAGUCAGCAGCAAGAACCCAAAUUAUAAUUGUUUACACAUCAUCAGUCUUUUUUUCUUCUGAGAGUGCUCAGUUUGAAGCCCAGGUAUUUUAUUUCUCUCCCAAUCAAAUACCAUGCAAUAAACACACAAGCUAUAUGCUUGGCUGAUGGCUUAUUGGAAAUUAGCACACAAACUGUGAAAUGGGAAAAAAUCCCAAAGGGCUACAGUGAUUCCAAGUAACACGGUGUCCAUGAAAUCAUGAAGGCAUGGAAUAUGCCAUUUUCAAGAUAUAUACUGCAAUUGACAUAGAUGAUUUUAAAAAUAUAUGGGCAUAGAUAAAUUGUAAAUAUGUCUGGCUGCUUAAUGUACACAGGGAUAAAUAUGUGCAUAUAAAUAUACUUCAUGUACAAAUGCAUUUGUAUCAGAGCAGUAAUUACAGGAAUAGUCCCUUGUGCUCUUGGCUGUGCUGUUUCAGCAUUUUAUCGUCUCUGUAUGCCCGUGUACAGCACCACCACGGCUUCUGACUCUCUGAUAAGCAUCUAGAGGCAGUGAUUGCUGUGAGGGAAGAGACUAGGGUGCCACUAAUACCACAAGAAAGCAGACAGAUGGCCACACAGAAAUCUAAAUAAUGAGGGGAGGGCACUCUUCAUCCAGCACUGGAAGUUGGAAAGAACUGAUCGCAGAAUGGAUAAUCUCUUGGGAAGUACAUAUUUCAUUGUCAAAAGGUGAAUGGGCUCCCUUGGAGGUGCUAUGGAAUUCUCAAAUUGCUGAAAAAGAAUUAACUGGCUUGAUGAGAAGGUCAUUCAGAAACCCUACCUGCAGGUUGUUGUAAAGUAAUAAGCAAUUACCAGAAGCACAUCUUAAGAUGUGCUUGUCAGUUAAAAGAUUCUGAAUUUGGCUUGGGAAGCAAGGCAAGUGGCUCAUUUAAGCUGCCACCCAGUCAGGGCAGGUACAGAACUGAAUCUUCACUCAACUAGACAGAAAGGAAACAAUGCAUCACCUAUGGAUUCUAAUGCAUUUGGAACAUGAUAAUGUGGAGAUGUGUUAACUUCCAUUAAACACUUUCCCAAAGACUACAUUUCCACACUAGAGAGUCUUCAGAACACUCAAAUUUGUGUAGGAAAGGAAAAGACAAUUGACUUUAAAAAUCAAAGAUAGAAUACCAAUGAUAAAAUCUAAACCUAGAACAGGGUUUUUCAACCUUUUGACAUUUUGGGCCAGAUAAUUCUUCACUGUGGGAGAAUGUCCAGUGCAUUGCAGGAUGUUAAGCAACAUCCCUGGCCUCUGUUUGGUAGCACACCCUUCCCCCGAAUUGACACAACCAGAGAUGUCUCCAGGCAUUGCCAGAUGUCCCCUAGGAGGCCAAACUGCCCCCACUUGAGAGCCACGGACCUAGAACAAGGAUGGCUUUACUUUUUCCUCCCAAGGAACUCAGAGUGUUUAAAAGUAUAAGAUCUUUAUUUCUCACAGCAUUUUAAUGAAGUAGCUGCAUGGCAAAUACUGCCUUAAUUUUUCUCUUUUAGAAAUUGAGGAUCCAAAUAAAUAAGGUGAUCAGCUCAUCAGCUUAGAUUCCCAUACCAUUUGGAGGUACAAAUGAUAGAGCCACUUUACAAGGUGUAAGUAAUUGUCUCAUGCUAGCUUUCCCAUUUUCCAUGAUUCUUCCCUUCCGAAUUACCAAAAUUAUUGUUACUUUAUACUAAGGGCAAAGUAGAAGGGUGAAGUGUUGUCUGGUUCAAUGCGUGCAUGUCAAGGUUCUAGAGUUCCAAUCCCAGGAGGCUGUGGUUCCAUUUUCCACUUAGAAAUAAAGGCAAGAAACAGAGGACAAAAGAACAUGAGCGGAAACACUGAUAGAAUAAAUUCUUCCACUUGAUUUAAAAAAAUAAAAUUAAUUUUUUUUCUGAGGAUUUACUAGAGUGCCAGUCAAUUUCUCUGGAUGCUUUGCCUCAUCUCUAGCUGUAUGUACUAUAUAGAUACUUCUCCUAAGAAGUUCAAUAUGAUCACUUUCCACCAACCCAGAAAAAGACCAAACCUCCUAUUAGCGGUGUAAUAAGAAUAUGUACAAGGGCUUGCCAUUGGCAAAACAGUGCUGGAAGGAGAACUUCCACGGCUGAGCUCACUGUUGUCCUUGACACAUGCACAGUUAAGAAAAAUAAUUAAAAUCUGGGUGUUCUGAGCCUCAGUAAGCCUGGGAUCACCUAGCUAGUCACAGAACGCAAUAUAAUAUCAAUGCUGACAUGAUGCUAUAACAAACGUCUGCAAUUCACAAACCAAUUUCUUUAUUCUUAGAUGUCAAUAUGUUCUCCAGAAGAUAAACCAAGCUUCCGGAAAGGGUCCCCUUUUUCUGAGGUCUUAAUUCUUGCUCUUAAUAAUCUCAUCAAGAGAUAGAAAACUGAGAAUGUGUCACUCCCAGUUACUCCAAAAAAUUUUUGGCGUCAGGGUUACAACUAUUACUUCAGUUGGUCUCCAGUUUUGUUUUCUUCUUUCAAAACUUAAUAUUCCUGCCUUCUUUGUAUUCUUCCUCUUUUGCUCCCUCCAUUUUGCCCAACUCUGCUAGUAUAAAAAAUGAAGCAUGAUAAGUGUCUCUGAAUGAUUGCUAA